UUUUGGACAAUGGGCGCAAGCCUGAUCCAGCCAUUCCGCGUGCAGGAUGAAGGCCCUCGGGUUGUAAACUGCUUUUGUACGGAACGAAAAGGUGUCGGUUAAUACCUGGCGCUCAUGACGGUACCGUAAGCAUAAGCACCGGCUAACUACGUGCCAGCAGCCGCGGUAACACGUAGGACGCAAGCGUUAUCCGGAAUUACUGGGCGUAAAGAGCGUGUAGGCGGUGCUGUAAGUCAACCGUGAAAGCUCCCGGCUAAACUGGGAGAGGUCGGAUGAGACUGCAGCGCUAGUGGGUCGUAGAGGAGUGUGGAAUUCCGGGUGUAGUGGUGAAAUGCGUAGAGAUCCGGAGGAACGCCAGAGGCGAAGGCGGCACUCUGGACGACACCAGACGCUGAGACGCGACAGCACGGGGAGCGAAC
RNAcentral lists this ribosomal RNA (419 nucleotides) under uncultured bacterium. RNAcentral describes it as "bacterial SSU rRNA". It matches the Rfam family "Bacterial small subunit ribosomal RNA", at positions 362 to 773 of the family's 1533-position model. The record is from RNAcentral.